GAUGAACGCUGGCGGCGUGCCUAAUACAUGCAAGUCGAGCGAACGGACGAGAAGCUUGCUUCUCUGAUGUUAGCGGCGGACGGGUGAGUAACACGUGGAUAACCUACCUAUAAGACUGGGAUAACUUCGGGAAACCGGAGCUAAUACCGGAUAAUAUUUUGAACCGCAUGGUUCAAAAGUGAAAGACGGUCUUGCUGUCACUUAUAGAUGGAUCCGCGCUGCAUUAGCUAGUUGGUAAGGUAACGGCUUACCAAGGCAACGAUGCAUAGCCGACCUGCGAGGGUGAUCGGCCGCACUGGAGCUGGGACACGGUCCAGACUACUACGGGAGGCAGCAGUAGGGAAUCUUCCGCAAAGGGCGAGAGCCUGACGGAGCAACGCCGCGUGAGUGAUGAAGGUCUUCGGAUCGUAAAACUCUGUUAUGAGGGAAGAACAUAUGUGUAAGUAACUGUGCACAUCUUGACGGUACCUAAUCAGAAAGCCACGGCUAACUACGUG
RNAcentral lists this ribosomal RNA (497 nucleotides) under uncultured bacterium. Its description in RNAcentral is "partial 16S ribosomal RNA". It matches the Rfam family "Bacterial small subunit ribosomal RNA", at positions 28 to 507 of the family's 1533-position model. The record is from RNAcentral.